GAAAAACUUUGAGAACCACUGCUCUAACCUACCUAUCUAGCCAAAACCUAACACCUAACACCGUGGGGUGGGACGCUGAGUGAUGCGGCACCAAAGUACUUCUCGCUAACUCAGUCUCAAAAGGUUCUUCACUUACUGACCAAACGUCACUGAAGAUUCAGUUUAUGAUUGGCUGAUUUAUGCGGCUAAUCUGAAUCCAACCAAUCAACAUCACGGAAAUCCUAGCGGUUUGUACACUACGGCCAAGUACAUGUCAAUGCACGUUAGGCCUAGGGGUGACUGAUUUAAUUUGAAACAUGGUUCUUCCUUCUAAGCGCCCAAUGUCAGCAUAUGCCUGUUUCUUAAAGAGAUUCCAUAAUCAGUUAAAGAAAAAGGGAGAGCUGACAACAUUCUUAGAGUUCACCCGAAGAGCUCGAGAUAAAUGGAGGACCAUGACUCCAAGGGAAAAAAAAAAAAAAUAUUAAAAUAUCAGAGAAAGACAGAGAUCGUUAUAAAUUGGAGAAAAGGGGGAGACAACGGGGAAAUGAAAAUGCCCCAAAGAGACCUAUGUGAGUGCUGUCGCUUUGUUUUGAGCUAGUUAUAUGCUAUGUAUAUAUAUAUUAAUCCAUCUGAUGUCAUUGACUUCAAGGCACCCGAUGUGGUUGGUGGGCUUAAGUAUUUCAAUGACCUUAAAGCUACAGCAUCUGGUGCAUGCACUUUGUCAAGGGUGCCCUGUGUCAGGCAGGUCUAGGAGUAGAGACUAAAGUGUAGACUGUGAAGUCCACCUAUCUCCCAGAUUAGAUCGAGUUUGUUAGGCAACUAUUCCUGGGAAAAAACAAAACAAAACUGUUAGGGAAAAUGGCAGAUACAAAACAGUCAAACAAUUGGUAGCAGACCAAGUAGCUAAUGACGGCUGGGUGUGAAAAUUACAUAGAUUUUUCCAACCUGACAGCUAACCUGUCAUCAAAAAUGUUCAUUACCUUUGGUUGUUGUAAUAUAGGAACACAAAGCAAACAAAAAAGUUAUUACAGGCCCUGUAACUCAGUCAAUGAAAUCGAUGGUAGUGGUGGCUAUUAUCUCAUCAUUUUCAGUGCAAAUCCAUAUCAAGUUGAGAAACCAGCAAUCAUCUCAAAUUUGGCUGUUGACCAACUGAGUUAUUGCCUUCUUUCAAAUGCAGUUAAAUCUUGAUUUUCACCGAUAAUUUGUUCCAAGACAAUCAUCGAAAUCCUAAAUUUAUGAAAACCAAGACAAUUAUUUCCAUAUGAAUCCAUGUAAAUCCAAUUAAUGUGUUCUAGACAUUCCAAAAUACAUAUCAAAAACAUAUUUUAUAGAGAAUAAAUAGUGUUUGUUACUAAAAGCAAUAAGAAAUUAGCAUAAAUUGAAUAUUAAAGAUUAAUGUUAAGAAUAAAUAAACAUUUACAUGACAUUUAUUUUUCUAAAGACUUUUCUUGGCAUGUGGACGACAGCAAGAAGGGGAGAAAGAGGUACAGAUAUUGUUAGGAAGGGGAAUGCAUGUCUACUGCAGCUAUAUCACCCUAGAGAGUUACCAAGAAACCUUCAUUUGAAAAUUUUCAAAGGGGUCAGCUUGUCUUGUGGGUCAUAUUUGCAGAAUAAAUUAACAAAUGCACCAUCCAUAAUGUCUCUUCAUUUGACAACUAAUGGUAAGAAGAAACAUUGUCUAUUAAAAUAAACCUGGCAAAGAUCAGUUAUGAAAGAAUUGAAAGAAUAGAAACUGACAUGGAACAACUAAAUAUGCUACUGACUGGAAAACUGGAAAUCUGUAAAGGAUGCUUUAUGUACUCUCUAGGUAUAAGGAUAACUGAGUAAUCAUGAGAGUAUAUGUUGGACUCUUUUACUUAACCUGUUCCUUUUUUUUUUUUUUUAGUCAGGCCAUCCUACAAGCACAAUGGUUUUGCUGGUGAUACCUGUCUGAUGACCACAUUGUGGACUGAACAUUUUCUUUCAUUUAGGACCAAUCUCUUAGUACUUGUGCAGACAAGCUGAAUUAUGAAUUUGAAAUUACACAUUUGUUCAGUAUUUUGAUAUUUUCUAUUUAUUAAUUUGUUUCAGAACAGCAUUCUUUCAUUAUAUCAAAGAGAAGGGAAUCCAUUUUAAAAAACAACAUCCUCUAAUGCCCCAACACCAGAUUGUGCAAGCUUUAGCUUCUAAGUGGCGCAGUCUUAAAGAGAAGCUACCGUAUGAGGUUAUGGCUGUACAAGAUAGAGGGAGAUACUAUAAGGAAAUGGCGAUUUUUAACAAGAAAGAACUUGUAAGAGCUAAAAAGGCCGAACCAGCAGCAACAUCUAGAAAAACCUCUUCAGAACAAGAAGACUCUGAUGACAGUGAUAAUGAUGAUUUCCCUUAAUUCAAAGCAUCAAGGAAAAAGAGAAGGAUCCAAGACCUUUAAUGAAGGAUGGGUAUAAUUUUGGUGGAGACAUUUGCUAAGAUAUUAUUAACUGAACCUAAAGUUUUUUAACAAGUAUAUUUAUGGGACCAUUUGUGGAUGUGAUAUUUGCUGUUGCAGCUCAAAUAUUGUGGAGAACUUUAGGUCAAAUAAAAGUGAUAAGCAUUCCUCCUGUUGCAGAUAUUUGUUGGGGUUUUUUGUUGUAAUGGGUUUUUUUUUUAAAAAAAAUGAAAGCUGAAAGGUGAUGAGAGGAAAUAUAUUUGAUGUAGUUCACGGUAAAAGUUGAGAAAGGAGUGUGUAGCGUGAAGCAGAUGACAAUGAAUUUACAAAAACAAUUUUUAUCAUGUACUGAUCUUGAUGAUGCACUAUGACAUUGCAAAUGGCUCUUAUACCAUGAUAAAGUAUUAUGCAGACUUUGCAAUCCGAAAAUUCAUAAACAGUAACUUAUAGAAUGUUGAAACUUACAAAUAAAUUCAUAUUGCUCUGUACAUCUCUGGGUAAAGGGAAAGUAAGGAGGGAGUUGGCAUUGAACUUAUAACACUUAUGCUUAUAUCUUUGUGUUCCAUCUUUCAUGACCAGUAAUUCAUCAGUUGUUGCUGCACUUUCUCACUUUGUAAUGACAAAUUUCAUCAUGAUUAACAAAAUGUUAUUGUCUGUUUUUUGUGUGGGGAGAGAUGUGACUAAGAAUCUCAUUGUUGAACUAUUCCUUAGUCAAAUUCUCAGCAUCAUUUGCAAAAGCAAAUUAUGUACAGUGUAUAGAGAGCAGGAUAAUGAUAGGUAUUCAAAAGAUACAUUUUGUUAUGAGUAUCGGAUGCCUUUGAAUGUUAUUUAGGAUGUUUUAGAUUGUUCAUAAAUGUAACUGAAGCAUAACAUAAACAGGUAUCAAUUCCAGAAUAAUAAUUUUUAUACCAUUUUGACAUGUAAAGACUUUCAAAACUAAGUCAUUCUGGCUUUGAAAAUUGACUCACAUUGUUGGAAGCUUUCAACUGUGUUUUCAGGCAGUGCAAAAUUUGUAUAUGGAUACAGCUACGUACUCUUAUUAGGAUGGUAAUGAAAUCAGAAGUUUCUUGAGGAUUUGCCCACAUCAGAACACACAUGAACCACUUUGAUAGUCAACCCCAUGCUGAGCCAGAGGGUCAAAAUCCAUCAAGGUCACAGUUUUUGGCAAAGCAUGCUAUCAGGACACAAAAGCCAAGGGCUUCUUCCAAACCUUCAUCUUGACAUCACAAGGAAAUGUGUGGAAAAUAGUUGGUGACACAUAUCCUUUCCUUGAAGCUUGAUCAUUGUCAUGUUGAACUGGAUCUGUAUUUAUGUGGUGAAGAAUUUAACACACUGGUAUUAAGUGUUACAAGUGUCUCACAGAAGAUGUGAAAGUGGAAAUAAAAUUUAUUUUUCAUGUGGUGAUCUUUCACUUCAAAUAUUGACUUGUGAAACUAGAUGGCAAUGAAAAGAUACCAGUUGAUACAGAUAUAAAGCUCAUAAACCAAAUGAAGAAAAUCAAAGCUGGGAGUAUUUUGUUGCUUUUAUUUCUAAAAGCAUAGCUGUGCUUAAUGAAUGAAACAACGAAAAUAGCCAUUGAACUCUCAAGUUUUCAACUGUUCAAGCAUUUUAGGAAUUAUAAGAAACAGAAAUAACACUUUUAAAUGACAAUAAAUAAUAGCUAUUCAUUUUA
Long non-coding RNA from Pomacea canaliculata, 4055 nucleotides. RefSeq lists it as uncharacterized. The transcript has 5 exons. The record is from RefSeq and is a predicted model, not a curated record. NCBI's taxonomy places the organism in Eukaryota, Metazoa, Mollusca, Gastropoda, Architaenioglossa, Ampullariidae.